ACGGGUGAGUAACGCGUGGGCAACCUACCCUAAAGUCUGGGAUAACAGCGGGAAACUGCUGCUAAUACCGGAUAGCUUUAACCGGGGGCAUCUUCGGUUAAAGAAAGAAGCGAUUCGCUUUAGGAUGGGCCCGCGUCCCAUUAGCUGGUUGGUGAGGUAACGGCUCACCAAGGCGACGAUGGGUAGCCGGCCUGAGAGGGUGAACGGCCACACUGGGACUGAGACACGGCCCAGACUCCUACGGGAGGCAGCAGUAGGGAAUAUUGCGCAAUGGAGGGAACUCUGACGCAGCGACGCCGCGUGAGCGAUGAAGGUCUUCGGAUCGUAAAGCUCUGUCCUUGGGGAAGAAGGGAGCCGUAAGGCUUCUUGACGGUACCCAUGGAGGAAGCCCCGGCUAACUACGUGCCAGCAGCCGCGGUAAUACGUAGGGGGCAAGCGUUGUCCGGAAUUAUUGGGCGUAAAGGGUGCGUAGGCGGCCCUUUAAGUCAGAUGUGAAAGCCCACGGCUUAACCGUGGGACUGCAUUUGAAACUGGAGGGCUUGAGUGUCGGAGAGGGCAGUGGAAUU
This 566-nucleotide ribosomal RNA is filed under the name uncultured bacterium. RNAcentral's name for it is "bacterial SSU rRNA". It matches the Rfam family "Bacterial small subunit ribosomal RNA", at positions 102 to 668 of the family's 1533-position model. The record is from RNAcentral.